This 496-nucleotide ribosomal RNA is filed under the name uncultured bacterium. Its description in RNAcentral is "partial 16S ribosomal RNA". It matches the Rfam family "Bacterial small subunit ribosomal RNA", at positions 29 to 507 of the family's 1533-position model. The record is from RNAcentral.
AUGAACGCUGGCGGCGUGCCUAAUACAUGCAAGUCGAGCGAACAGACGAGGAGCUUUCUCCUCUGACGUUAGCGGCGGACGGUUGAUUAACACGUGGAUAACCUACCUAUAAGACUGGGAUAACUUCGGUAAACCGUAGCUAAUUCCGGAUAAUAUAUUUAACCGCAUGGUUCAAUAGUUAAAUUCGGUUUUUCUUUCUCUUAUAGAUUGAUCCUCGCCGCAUUUGCUAGUUGGUAAGGUAACGGCUUACCAAGGCAACGAUGCGUAGACGACCUGAGAGGGGGAUCGGCAAAACUGGAACUGAGACACGGACCAGACGACUACGGGAGGCAGCAGAAGGGAAUAUUCGGCAAUGGGGGAAAGCAUGACGGAGAAAAGCCGAGUGAGAGAUGAAGGUCGUCGGAUCGUAAAACUCUGUUAUUAGGGAAGAACAAAUGUGUAAGUAAAUAUGAACGUAUUGACGGUACCUAAAAAGAAAGCAACGGCUAACUACGUG